UGGGGAAUAUUGCACAAUGGGCGCAAGCCUGAUGCAGCCAUGCCGCGUGUAUGAAGAAGGCCUUCGGGUUGUAAAGUACUUUCAGCGGGGAGGAAGGGAGUAAAGUUAAUACCUUUGCUCAUUGACGUUACCCGCAGACGAAGCACCGGCUAACUCCGUGCCAGCAGCCGCGGUAAUACGGAGGGUGCAAGCGUUAAUCGGAAUUACUGGGCGUAAAGCGCACGCAGGCGGUUUGUUAAGUCAGAUGUGAAAUCCCCGGGCUCAACCUGGGAACGGCAGCUGAUACUGGCAAGCUUGAGUCUCGUAGAGGGGGGUAGAAUUCCAGGUGUAGCGGUGAAAUGCGUAGAGAGCUGGAGGAAUACCGGUGGCGAAGGCGGCCCCCUGGACGAAGACUGACGCUCAGGUGCGAAAGCGUGGGGAGCAAACAGG
This 429-nucleotide ribosomal RNA is filed under the name Chloroflexota bacterium. RNAcentral describes it as "Chloroflexi bacterium partial 16S ribosomal RNA". It matches the Rfam family "Bacterial small subunit ribosomal RNA", at positions 355 to 776 of the family's 1533-position model. The record is from RNAcentral. Lineage: Bacteria; Bacillati; Chloroflexota.